AAAAAUAUGCAGUUACCAUGCUUAGGUGUUGUGUUGAUAUUGUAAUAGGCCCAAUUUGCCCGGUCCUAGAAGAAGAAACAAAAAAUUACAAAUAUAAAAAAACCAAAUAAAUAAAUAAAUUAAACAAAAGUCCACUAUUAAUCAACACAGCCCAGUAACUAAACCCAAUUAGCCUAAGCCCAAUACCCAUAGCCCAAUCAUAACGCAGCCCAAAACGAAAAUCAGAAACAGAAAACCCUAGAAGAUUCAUGCGCUGUAGGCAAGCCUUCCGCGUGUGACCAGCCUCCGUACACUCC
RNAcentral lists this long non-coding RNA (296 nucleotides) under Gossypium raimondii (Peruvian cotton). Its description in RNAcentral is "long non-coding RNA (GRAI_LNC003052)". Lineage: Eukaryota; Viridiplantae; Streptophyta; Magnoliopsida; Malvales; Malvaceae. The record is from RNAcentral.